GGCCGCUUGGUGGAAUUGGCAGACACGCAAGACUUAGGAUCUUGUGCCGAAAGGUGUCCGGGUUCAAAUCCCGGAGCGGCCAC
This 83-nucleotide transfer RNA is filed under the name Anatilimnocola aggregata. Its description in RNAcentral is "Planctomycetes bacterium ETA_A8 tRNA-Leu". It matches the Rfam family "tRNA". From Rfam's summary of the family: Transfer RNA (tRNA) molecules are approximately 80 nucleotides in length. Their secondary structure includes four short double-helical elements and three loops (D, anti-codon, and T loops). Lineage: Bacteria; Pseudomonadati; Planctomycetota; Planctomycetia; Pirellulales; Pirellulaceae. The record is from RNAcentral.